UAUUCCAUGUGAAACGUAAGUGAUGAUGUGUCAACUUCCAUGUGCAUCAAUCAACGUGUAGACAGUCUGAACUUCACAAUACAGUGCCUUGCGAAAGUAUUCGGCCCCCUUAAACCUUUCAACAUUGACACGGUCAUAUGCGGGAAUCAAACUCAAGGUGUCGGCACACAAGAUGGUCAAGUGCACCCCUACACUGUGGUAGAUUGGAUCGAGGACUCAGUGCUCAACUGUGUUGGUCUGUCUGUAGUUAUCAGACCAUAAAGCCACAACAUACACCAUCAGCGAUUCCCGAACCUGAACAGAAACUUUUUUUUUUUUUGCAAACUUUAUUUAGCAGAAGCAUAGUAUAAGAAACAUUCAAGUUUUCCUUUGUAGAAUGAACAUAUAAAACCAAUGCACAAAUUUAAGCUUUCUUUUGUGGAAUGAACAUAAGACAGAUCAAAGCACAAUUUUGAAAAAGCAACACAAAACUUAAGAUUCAAAAAUGUCCCAUUUUUAUAAUCUUUGGUAUGGUCUUAACUAGGCUGGAUGUAAUUUUUUUUGUUGUCGUUGAUUUCUCCGACUGCCCGUAAAGGCACCACCGCGAUCAGUUGCGGACAUGUGAAAAAGGCGUGCGGACGUGAAAAAGGCGGCUCUGUAUGGGAGAGACGUUGAAGAGGAAUAAAAACACCCUUGGAAACCAAAACUUGCCCCUCGUCGUGACUCGGAGCCGCAACAAAUGUUUCGGAUUUGUGUAGGGUACAUUGUGACAGCAAACGAGCAGAGCUUCUGAAGGUCAUCGUUGAGCCCCCUCUGGAAAUCCCUGGGCUGAGGAUCCUCAACUCUCGUUCAGAAUGUGAUGUGGAGAGUGGACGAUGCCCAUGACUGAUCUAGAGACCUUAGACAUGAUGUCCAAGGAAAUAAAUGACAAACAGGAUGCAAGACUGAAUGACAGAAUGAUUAAGCUUAGAAUUGGUUAGUCAAAAAUUUGGAUGUCCCCCGCACACACUCUUGAUAGCUUACAAAUGGAACCUGUAGGGUUCUGUUUGGUUUAAUUGCUGUACUGUCAAAGUUACUGAAUUUUCAGUUACUUUUUUGAUUCAUUUACAAGAAAAAAAGUCCUCAAGUGAUUUUGUCUACUCUUAAUUCCACUCUUCUGAGACACUGUUCAUAAUUCCUUGUAUACAGAUUGCAAAGCAGUCUUAUGUUAGGAGGCGGUUAGAGUCACAAAUUAAAGUCACAAUGAUCGUCACACACACAUCUGGGUGUGGUGAAAUUUGUUCUCUGCAUUUAACCCAUCCCUGUGUUAGCAGUGAGCAAGUUGCGGUGACGCGCUCAGGAAUCCAUCCCGUCAUGCUGAGUGCCAAGCAGGGAGGAAAUGGGUCCCAUUUUUCUUUUUAUAGUCUUUGGUAUGACCUAGCCGGGAUUUGAACCCACAACCUUCCAGUCUCAGGGCGGACACUCUACCACUAGGCCACUGAGCAGGUUGUGAUUCAAGAUCUGUACAGUAGAUUAAAAAAAGACAACAGUGAAGGCUUACGAUGUGGCUCCCCUCAAUGUUGAUAUUUUCUUCUGUUGUAGACUCUACACAAAUGACAACGUUCAAUAUGCGUGCUCGUGUGACUCGUGCAGAAAGCCCUCAGGAAGACUGCUCUGAUAGCGGUGGUAAAAAAAAAAAAAAACUCUGUUCGUUCCUGUGCGAUUGCUUCAUGUUCGAAAUGUGCGACUGACAUGAGAUGCAUCAAGGAAAAACAAUUUUACAGGUAGUUGUGUUUUUUUCCCCCCAUAUUCAUAUUUCUUUACAGAGUACCGUGUUUUUCCAUGCAUAAUGCGCCCCGUGCAUAAUACGCACCCUAAAAAUGGCAUGUCGAUGCUGUAAAAAAGCCUGUACCCAUGUAUAAUACGCACCCAAAUUUUGACUCUUACUUAAGUCCGUAAACGUAAAAUUAUUUCAGAAAAAAGAUCAUCUUUGGGAACAACCGUAUGUUAUUCUGCCGGUCAGUAUCACUGCGCAUGCGCUAACAAACUCGAUAGCGAAGAAAUGUUUCAGAAUUGUGUAGGGCAAUUACAUUACAUGUACAUUGUGACAGCAAAUGACCAGGUGAUCGAGCGUCUGAUACGAGAUCAUUGUGUUCGUAUGGAGCGUGUUUGAAGUGAAAAGCAGAGACGAAAGGAACAAGGCAAAGUGUUGUGAAAUAAAAUAUUACCUGUAAUACGCAUUUUGUUAUUUGCUGAUUGAAACUGCUAAUUAAACUGUGAAUUGAAACUAAUAGGAAGAAAACAACUCUCGCUCUUUAUAUAGCUGACGUGUCUUGCGCAUGCGUUCUGAGCAUCGGAUCCAUAGUGCGCAUGCGCAGUCAUACUGCCUCCGUAUGACGUCCGGUCCGCGAUGGAGAUUAAAAAACAAACAAUAUUUGACAAUAACACACCAUCAAGGAUUGCACCAUCGCAUCAAACGAUGUGUCGUCAAUUAUGAAUUUUACUGACUGUGUGUUGGGCAGGAUGGCUGAAUGCGAUGUGCGAUUGACAACAGACAAGAAGAAAGGUGAUUUCAAGUUUUAUUUCGAGGGAGAUUUGUCAUGUCUCGUCCCCAGUUUUGCUAUGUGUCUAGGUUGCCAUAGUUUCUGUUUGCGUCGCCCCUCCCUUCCUGUGUCACCUCAAUCAAUAUAACGUGUUUUGUAUUUAAGUCCUGUCUGCCCCUCGCUCACCGUCGGAUCAUUUCAUGUGUUACUGUCAUGAUGUCUGUUUGGUUUCUGUUCCUGUCUUUGGUAAUAUCACCCUGUCUUUUUGUUCCACGUCUUUGUCGGUCAGUCCUGUUGUUGGUUUUGUUGUACCAUGAUUUUCUUAAAAAAAUAAAAUAAAAAAUAAAUAAAUAAAAAAUUGUACCCAUGUAUAAUGCGCACCCUAGAUUUUAGGACAAUAAAUUAGUUAAAUUUUGCGCAUUAUACACGGAAAAAAACGGUAGUUAAAUUUUGCGCAUUAUGCACGGGAAACACGGUAAUCCCAAGGUCUACAAAGGGUGGUGCCUGAUGUACAUCAAGUUCAUCUUUGUAGAAGCUGUUGGCGACACGCACGGAGGCCACGGAUGAUGAAACAAGGAACGCAAUGGCUUUAAAAUUAAAACGGUCUCCAGCGUUGAGUAGCAAAGGGGGCUACCAAAAGCCCACAAGAGUGAUGUUAUAUUGUGUUUUGCCGAGAUGGUUGAUCUGUUUGAUAUGUCCUACAUAAAAUAUGUAUAUAUUUAUAUUGUUACGUAGUACUUUUGUUCUAUUAAAUAGCCCCCAUUUUUUAAUACUGUAUGUAUAGUUUUACAUUUUUAAACAUAUGAUUUAAAAACAUUGCACAUUUAUAUUUGUGAUGGAUAAUGUUAAAAUGAUUUAUUUAGGUUUGAUUAUCAUUUUGGUUAACACAGGCCAUUGUAAGUUUUGUUUGCAAAGCUUUACGUCCAUACUUAGUGUCAAAUUUACAACAGUAACAGGAUUUGCCUUGAGGUAAAUUUUACUUUGUUUUGUUAUUUUGCCUGUAAUUAAGAGUUUGGUUCAAUGCCUUUAUGCAAAUUGUUAAUGUGCAGUCACUUGCACUUUUCAGACUGACAAAUCUUUUUUUACAGUUAAUGUGAAUUGUAAAGUUUAAUUCAUGUUUGAACCUGAAACCUGACGAGAAAACAAUAAAGUCGUGUAUUUUUCAACA
Molecule: long non-coding RNA, 3669 nt
Organism: Syngnathus typhle (broad-nosed pipefish)
Lineage: Eukaryota; Metazoa; Chordata; Actinopteri; Syngnathiformes; Syngnathidae
Exons: 2
Source: RefSeq, a predicted model, not a curated record